UACGGAGGGUGCAAGCGUUAUCCGGAUUUACUGGGUUUAAAGGGUGUGUAGGCGGACUAUUAAGUCAGGGGUGAAAUCCCGAGGCUCAACCUCGGAACUGCCUUUGAUACUAUUAGUCUUGAAUGUUGUUGAGGUGGGCGGAACGGGUCAUGUAGCGGUGAAAUGCAUAGAUAUGACCCGGAACACCGAUUGCGAAGGCAGCCCGCUAAGCAACUAUUGACGCUGAGGCACGAAAGCGUGGGGAUCAAACAGG
This 253-nucleotide ribosomal RNA is filed under the name uncultured bacterium. RNAcentral's name for it is "partial 16S ribosomal RNA". It matches the Rfam family "Bacterial small subunit ribosomal RNA", at positions 524 to 776 of the family's 1533-position model. The record is from RNAcentral.